GGUGUUGCAUGGCUGUCGUCAGCUCGUGUCGUGAGAUGUUGGGUUAAGUCCCGCAACGAGCGCAACCCUCAUCCUUAGUUACCAUCAGGUAAUGCUGGGGACUUUAAGGAAACUGCCAGUGAUAAACUGGAGGAAGGUGGGGAUGAUGUCAAGUCAUCAUGGCCCUUAUGGAGUGGGCUACACACGUGCUACAAUGGUGGCUACGAUGGGCUGCAAAGUCGCGAGGCUAAGCUAAUCCCUUAAAAGCCAUCUCAGUUCGGAUUGUACUCUGCAACUCGAGUGCAUGAAGUUGGAAUCGCUAGUAAUCGUGGAUCAGCACGCCACGGUGAAUACGUUCCCGGGUCUUGUACACAC
RNAcentral lists this ribosomal RNA (354 nucleotides) under uncultured bacterium. Its description in RNAcentral is "bacterial SSU rRNA". It matches the Rfam family "Bacterial small subunit ribosomal RNA", at positions 1037 to 1390 of the family's 1533-position model. The record is from RNAcentral.